GACGAACGCGGCGGCGUGCUUAACACAUGCAAGUCGAACGAAGAGCGAUGGAAGCUUGCUUCUAUCAAUCUUAGUGGCGAACGGGUGAGUAACGCGUAAUCAACCUGCCCUUCAGAGGGGGACAACAGUUGGAAACGACUGCUAAUACCGCAUACGAUCUAAUCUCGGCAUCGAGGAAAGAUGAAAGGUGGCCUCUAUUUAUAAGCUAUCACUGAAGGAGGGGAUUGCGUCUGAUUAGCUAGUUGGAGGGGUAACGGCCCACCAAGGCGAUGAUCAGUAGCCGGUCUGAGAGGAUGAACGGCCACAUUGGGACUGAGACACGGCCCAGACUCCUACGGGAGGCAGCAGUGGGGAAUCUUCCGCAAUGGACGAAAGUCUGACGGAGCAACGCCGCGUGAGUGAUGACGGCCUUCGGGUUGUAAAGCUCUGUUAAUCGGGACGAAAGGCCUUCUUGCGAAUAGUGAGAAGGAUUGACGUACCGGAAUAGAAAGCC
RNAcentral lists this ribosomal RNA (493 nucleotides) under Veillonella dispar. RNAcentral's name for it is "bacterial SSU rRNA". It matches the Rfam family "Bacterial small subunit ribosomal RNA", at positions 28 to 492 of the family's 1533-position model. Lineage: Bacteria; Bacillati; Bacillota; Negativicutes; Veillonellales; Veillonellaceae. The record is from RNAcentral.